This 26-nucleotide non-coding RNA is filed under the name Cricetulus griseus (Chinese hamster). Lineage: Eukaryota; Metazoa; Chordata; Mammalia; Rodentia; Cricetidae. The record is from RNAcentral.
CUUUUGGGCUGAGCCAGACAGAAGGA